This 161-nucleotide ribosomal RNA is filed under the name Tramea onusta. Its description in RNAcentral is "partial 16S ribosomal RNA". The stretch from base 1 to 144 matches the Rfam family "Archaeal large subunit ribosomal RNA", at positions 1999 to 2143 of the family's 2987-position model. Lineage: Eukaryota; Metazoa; Arthropoda; Insecta; Odonata; Libellulidae. The record is from RNAcentral.
UUUUAACGGCCGCGGUAUACUGACCGUGCAAAGGUAGCAUAAUCAUUAGUCUUUUAAUAGAGGGCUGGAAUGAAAGGUUUAACGAGGAAUUGACUGUCUCAUUUUAUUUGUUUUAGAAUUUAAUUUUUUAGUCAAAAAGCUAAAAUUUUAUUGGAAGACAA